This is a long non-coding RNA of Rhinichthys klamathensis goyatoka, 1072 nucleotides long. RefSeq lists it as uncharacterized. The transcript has 4 exons. The record is from RefSeq and is a predicted model, not a curated record. Lineage: Eukaryota; Metazoa; Chordata; Actinopteri; Cypriniformes; Leuciscidae.
UUUAUGAUUUCCCAAGUGGCUAUAAUGCAGCAUUCUUUUGGUCAGGGCGCAGUCAGUAGCACCUCUGUCCUUUAUGUUUUUUACGUUUUGUUAAAGCAGACGGAAAGACAAAUUCUCCUGAGCUGGGCGAAUUGUGUGCGUUAAUAUGGAUGGAAAGCUCGACGUCACGCUAGUACGAAGCGUCUUUAGAUUUUCACAUCAGCUAAGAGUGCAAGGGUCAAAAUUCACUGAGGACCUUAGUUUAUUCUUCUCUAAUUUGUCAAGUUUUAGCUCUGUCGGUCUUACCCGUAGGCUACAUCCAAAAGAUACGACACGAGAUCCUGGUUAACCGACGAAUCUGCGAGAUUGUUUUGGAUCAUUCCAUUGAAGCGGUGAUGGACUGGAAAAGAAAAGCAACAAGUGUAUUCCAAUGAGGCUGCGUGUGACCCUGGACACGUUUUCCAUGCUAUUCAUCAAAUGGACAGUCUACAGACAAUUGAGAAGGAACAUGACAAGAAACAGGUCAUCUUCCAGCGGGCCUCCGGAAUCAUACUGUCACAUGACACGAGAGGACAGAGUUUUUCUAAACCCCCAGAAAGGACCAUAACUGAUGAAAGCCGUCCAGAAAAUGCAGAUAACGAACAACAAUAACGCCUGUCUCACAACGUCGCGGAAUUAUUUGCAACAAUCUCGUUGUGCAUUUGAACGUAAUGACAAAAUCCAUCACAACACCAUACACUUUGGGUAAGAGACCGCUAAAGACGAACUUGCACAGUGAGAUGGAAUACAGAACAAGAUAAAGAGGACGUAUAAACGAGAGAGAAAAAAAAAUGUAGUUACACCAUCCUCAAUCAAGACAGAAACACGCCAGUGUUCCUUGCUGCAAACUACCGGAGAUAACUUUAGGAAUCAACAAGUUCUAACUGUAUUACCAACCCAUAUUUUAUUGGAUGACAGAAUUCAAGCACACGACAAAGAGGAGCGCGGCAUUUGGUGCCCAGGAGUGACAAGAAAACCCCGCUGGGAGUCAUUGCCUCAAAAAGAGCACAUACUGCUGCUAUAGCCUACAAGUGACCAGCUGUAGAGCAUGAGA